CAUAAGUGGAAACUACUAAAUUAGUACCCUCCCCUGGCUGCUCCAGUGGAAGCUCUGAGAUCAGCUCAGUGGCUCCUGACACUUUCAGAUUUUACUGCCAGAGCUUACCCUGAAUAGCUUGGUUAGCUGAAAAAACUAAGACGUCAGGCAGUUCCAGGUGUAAAGGCCAUCACUAAGACAGCUCUCUGACUUAUUUCCCACAGGUACCUAGGAGUGUUUCAAUUAUUUCCAAACCCAGUGAAGCCCUCCUACUCAAGCCAGACCGCUGCAUGAACUGAACACAUGAUACUUGAAGAACACAGCACGUGUGAAAAGCUACAACCAAAACUGAAGAUCAAACCUGAAGAUGGGGCCAUCAUCCAUCCAUGGAGCUGUGUACCACACGCUUUACUGGAAGAGGAGUGACUGGCAAAUGAAGUUUUAGAAACUCUCCCAGAGGAAAAGAACAUGACCAAUGACAUCCUCUCUUGAGGCUGGUUGGGAGAUAGUAAAGCACCUCUCUGGUGCCUGGAGAGGGCUGGCUGGCUGCCCAGACCAAUUCUCAAGAGGAGACAUUUAGCACAAUGAUGGAAUUCACUGCUUCCCAAGGAAUGAUACAGACUUGUAGGCUCUUGUCUUAGUUCAUUCAGGCUAGUGUAACAAAUUACCAUAAGCUGAGUAGCUUAAAAACAGCAAACAUUAGUUUCUCAUAGUGCUGGAGCUGGAAAGUUCAAGAUUAAGGUCCUAGCAGAUUCAGUGUCUGAUAGGCCCACUUCCUUGUUCAUAGUGGUCAAGUGGCACAUUCUAGCUGUAUCCAGAAUAGUUUCCCUUCAUGCAAGGGCUAGCUAGCUCUCUCUUCAACUCUCUUCUCUCUGUUUCUCUGUCUCCCCUGUAAACUCCUUCCUCGCAUGGGUCUUUCUGUGUAACCCAGUCUGGCUCUAAACUCUCAAUCCUCCUGCCUUAGCAUCCUGAGUUCUGGUAUUAUAACUGUAGGCCACCAUACUUAGUUUUGAAGUCUCUUUGUUUAGGCACACUAAUCUCAUUCAUGAGGUCUCUGCUUCUGCUCUCAUAAUUUAAUCACCUUCCAACAGUUCCACCUCUUAAUCCUAUCCCAUUAGGAGUUAAGGUUCAGCAUGAGUUAUUUUUUUUGGGGGGGAUACAAACAUUUAGAUCAUAGUAGUCUGAAAUUUUUCAGUGACCCAG
RNAcentral lists this long non-coding RNA (1182 nucleotides) under Castor canadensis (American beaver). RNAcentral describes it as "lncRNA (ENSCCNG00000013280.1)". The record is from RNAcentral. Lineage: Eukaryota; Metazoa; Chordata; Mammalia; Rodentia; Castoridae.